This 584-nucleotide ribosomal RNA is filed under the name uncultured bacterium. RNAcentral describes it as "partial 16S ribosomal RNA". It matches the Rfam family "Bacterial small subunit ribosomal RNA", at positions 356 to 1375 of the family's 1533-position model. The record is from RNAcentral.
UGGGGAAUUUGGACAAUGGGCGAAAGCCUGAUCCAGCAAUGCCGCGUGUGUGAAGAAGGCCUUCGGGUUGUAAAGCACUUUUGUCCGGAAAGAAAUCCUUGGCUCUAAUACAGUCGGGGGAUGACGGUACCGGAAGAAUAAGCACCGGCUAACUACGUGCCAGCAGCCGCGGUAAUACGUAGGGUGCAAGCGUUAAUCGGAAUUACUGGGCGUAAAGCGUGCGCAGGCGGUUUGCUAAGACCGAUGUGAAAUCCCCGGGCUCAACCUGGGAACUGCAUUGGUGACUGGCAGGCUAGAGUAUGGCAGAGGGGGGUAGAAUUCCACGUGUAGCAGUGAAAUGCGUAGAGAUGUGGAGGAAUACCGAUGGCGAAGGCAGCCCCCUGGGCAAUACUGACGCUCAUGCACGAAAGCGUGGGGAGCAAACAGGAUUAGAUACCCUGGUAGUCCACGCCCUAAACGAUGUCAACUAGUUGUUGGGGAUUCAUUUCCUUAGUAACGUAGCUAACGCGUGAAGUUGACCGCCUGGGGAGUACGGUCGCAAGAUUAAAAACUUAAAUGAAUUGACGGGGUCAUAGCUGUUUCCU